Molecule: transfer-messenger RNA, 352 nt
Filed under: Lottiidibacillus patelloidae
Lineage: Bacteria; Bacillati; Bacillota; Bacilli; Caryophanales; Bacillaceae
Description: Standard tmRNA
Rfam family: transfer-messenger RNA
About the family: Bacterial tmRNA, also known as 10Sa RNA or SsrA, is named for its dual tRNA and mRNA-like properties. Its role is to liberate the mRNA from a stalled ribosome.
Source: Rfam by way of RNAcentral
GGGGGCGUUACGGAUUCGACAGGGGUAGUUUGAGCUUAAGUUGCGUGUCGAGGGGAUCGGCCUCGUUAAAACGUCAAAGCCUAUAACUGGCAAAAAUAAUUACGCUUUAGCUGCCUAAUAAACGUAGCUGCCCUUCUCGCUAUCGCCCAUGUAGUCGGGGUCAGGGCCCAUUUCAGUGGGAUACGCCGGACAUCCUCCGCCUGAGGAUUAAGGAAGAGCUCAAUCAGGCUAGCAUCGCUGACGCCUGUCGAUAGGCAAAUGCGAUUGCGAAACGCCAAUAUAUCGACUACACACGUAGAAGCUUAAGUGGCAAUGCCUUUGGACGUGGGUUCGACUCCCACCGUCUCCACCA